UACAGAGGGGGCAAGCGUUGUUCGGAAUUACUGGGCGUAAAGGGCGCGUAGGCGUCCUGUUAAGUCGGACGUGAAAUCCCUCGGCUCAACCGGGGAACUGCGUCCGAUACUGGCGGGCUUGAAUUCGGGAGAGGGAUGUGGAAUUCCAGGUGUAGCGGUGAAAUGCGUAGAGAUCCGGAGGAACCCCAGAGGCGAAGGCGGCAUCCUGGCCCACGACUGACACUCAGACACGACAGCAUGGGGAGCGAACGGG
Molecule: ribosomal RNA, 253 nt
Filed under: uncultured bacterium
Lineage: Bacteria
Description: partial 16S ribosomal RNA
Rfam family: Bacterial small subunit ribosomal RNA
Source: RNAcentral